This 495-nucleotide ribosomal RNA is filed under the name uncultured bacterium. RNAcentral describes it as "partial 16S ribosomal RNA". It matches the Rfam family "Bacterial small subunit ribosomal RNA", at positions 28 to 507 of the family's 1533-position model. The record is from RNAcentral.
GACGAACGCUGGCGGCGUGCCUAAUACAUGCAAGUAGAACGCUGAAGGAGGAGCUUGCUCUUCUGGAUGAGUUGCGAACGGGUGAGUAACGCGUAGGUAACCUGCCUGGUAGCGGGGGAUAACUAUUGGAAACGAUAGCUAAUACCGCAUAAGAGUAGAUGUUGCAUGACAUUUGCUUAAAAGGUGCAAUUGCAUCACUACCAGAUGGACCUGCGUUGUAUUAGCUAGUUGGUGGGGUAACGGCUCACCAAGGCGACGAUACAUAGCCGACCUGAGAGGGUGAUCGGCCACACUGGGACUGAGACACGGCCCAGACUCCUACGGGAGGCAGCAGUAGGGAAUCUUCGGCAAUGGACGGAAGUCUGAACGAGCAACGCCGCGUGAGUGAAGAAGGUUUUCGGAUCGUAAAGCUCUGUUGUAAGAGAAGAACGAGUGUGAGAGUGGAAAGUUCACACUGUGACGGUAUCUUACCAGAAAGGGACGGCUAACUACGUG